AAUGAACGUUGGCGGCGUGGAUUAGGCAUGCAAGUCGUGCGUGUAGCUCUUUGCUUGCAAGGAGCGAAAGCGGCGAAAGGGAGAGUAACGCGUGGAUUAUCUACCCUCGGAUCUGGGAUAGCGGCGGGAAACUGCCGGUAAUACCGGAUAAUGUCUCUGGACCAAAGGUGUGAUUCCGUCCGAGGAUGAGUCCGCGUCCUAUUAGCUUGUUGGUGGGGUAACGGCCUACCAAGGCAAAGAUGGGUAGCGGGUGUGAGAGCAUGGCCCGCCUCACUGGGACUGAGAUACUGCCCAGACACCUACGGGUGGCUGCAGUCGAGAAUCUUCGGCAAUGGGCGCAAGCCUGACCGAGCGACGCCGCGUGCGGGAUGAAGGCCUUCGGGUUGUAAACCGCUGUCAGAGGGGAGGAAGUACAUUGGGGUUCUCCCCAGUGUUUGACCUAACCUCAGAGGAAGCACGGGCUAAGUUCGUGCCAGCCGCCGCCGUAACAC
Molecule: ribosomal RNA, 491 nt
Filed under: uncultured bacterium
Lineage: Bacteria
Description: bacterial SSU rRNA
Rfam family: Bacterial small subunit ribosomal RNA
Source: RNAcentral